AUUGAACGCUGGCGGCAUGCCUUACACAUGCAAGUCGAACGGCAGCGGGCCUUCGGGUGCCGGCGAGUGGCGAACGGGUGAGUAAUGCAUCGGAACGUGCCAUUGAGUGGGGGAUAACGUAGCGAAAGUUACGCUAAUACCGCAUAUUCUGUGAGCAGGAAAGCAGGGGACCGCAAGGCCUUGCGCUCUUUGAGCGGCCGAUGUCAGAUUAGCUAGUUGGUGAGGUAAAGGCUUACCAAGGCGACGAUCUGUAGCGGGUCUGAGAGGAUGAUCCGCCACACUGGAACUGAGACACGGUCCAGACUCCUACGGGAGGCAGCAGUGGGGAAUUUUGGACAAUGGGCGCAAGCCUGAUCCAGCCAUGCCGCGUGAGUGAAGAAGGCCUCGGUUGUAAGACUCUUUCGGUCCGGGAACGGAAAUACGCAUGGUUAAGUACCUCGUGUGGAGUGACGGUACCGGAAGUAAGAAGACACCGGCGUAA
RNAcentral lists this ribosomal RNA (481 nucleotides) under uncultured bacterium. Its description in RNAcentral is "bacterial SSU rRNA". It matches the Rfam family "Bacterial small subunit ribosomal RNA", at positions 30 to 501 of the family's 1533-position model. The record is from RNAcentral.